MicroRNA precursor from Equus caballus (horse), 95 nucleotides. NCBI's taxonomy places the organism in Eukaryota, Metazoa, Chordata, Mammalia, Perissodactyla, Equidae. The record is from Ensembl.
UCCGUGGCUGAGUGGUUAAGUUCACGCACUCUGGGAUUUCAUUGGUUGGAAUCCUAGGAGCGGACAUGACACAGCUCAUCGAGUCGCGCUAAGGU